Molecule: ribosomal RNA, 292 nt
Filed under: uncultured bacterium
Lineage: Bacteria
Description: partial 16S ribosomal RNA
Rfam family: Bacterial small subunit ribosomal RNA
Source: RNAcentral
GUGCCAGCAGCCGCGGUAAGACGGAGGAUGCAAGCGUUAUCCGGAAUUAUUGGGCGUAAAGCGUCCGCAGGUGGCAUUUCAAGUCUGCUGUCAAAGACCGGGGCUUAACCCCAGAAAGGCAGUGGAAACUGAAAAGCUAGAGAUAGGUAGGGGCAGAGGGAAUUCCCAGUGUAGCGGUGAAAUGCGUAGAGAUUGGGAAGAACACCGGUGGCGAAAGCGCUCUGCUGGGCCUUAUCUGACACUCAGGGACGAAAGCUAGGGGAGCGAAUGGGAUUAGAUACCCCAGUAGUCC